ACCUAGCUGGCUCAGUUGGUAGAGCAUGUGACUCUUGAGUUCAGGACCGUAGGUUUGAGCCUCAUGUUGGGUG
This 73-nucleotide transfer RNA is filed under the name Canis lupus familiaris (dog). It matches the Rfam family "tRNA". Rfam says of the family: Transfer RNA (tRNA) molecules are approximately 80 nucleotides in length. Lineage: Eukaryota; Metazoa; Chordata; Mammalia; Carnivora; Canidae. RNAcentral also lists the same sequence under 2 other names. The record is from Rfam by way of RNAcentral.